Molecule: long non-coding RNA, 319 nt
Filed under: Dermacentor andersoni
Lineage: Eukaryota; Metazoa; Arthropoda; Arachnida; Ixodida; Ixodidae
Description: uncharacterized LOC126538764
Source: RNAcentral
ACAUGCAAGACAACAUCUUUCAGAAAACUUAGGACUGUGUUGGUGUCAAAUAAAGGUUCUGGACCGAGUAGCAUUACGGGAUGUAGGGGGAUGUGCUGCCGGUAUGCUAGGGAAAAAUGUUUUCUUCUUUCAGAUUCGGCUGCCCGACACUCCAGGAGGACGUGGAGGACGAAGGCACGCACCAGAGGAAAAAAGGAACUGUUCAACAAGUCGACCUCGCGCAUCUAUACGAGAGUCGCCCCACAGGGAGCUGUGCGCAUUGAAAUCGCCAAGUAGAACGUAAGGUUCUGGCAAUUGAUCAAUAAAGGAUUGGAAUUCA